AUGGAGUUACCUCCCUCUUAUUUAGAUUUUGAUUCUAUGGUUUCCCACCAGUUUGUUGAGAGGACUGAACUACCUCUCCAGUAUCGACUAAUUUUUAACAGACGUCGUGUAGUCCAUAUUGCUCUUCCCGCCCCUGCUUUCUUUGAUUCACAGGCAAAAAGAAGAUAUAUUAUUACCAGAGAGGAGGCAGAUGAGUACGAAAGGAGACCGGAGGCUGCUCGACUCCACGCUACAGCUCAGGUGGCAAUAGCCGCUGCGUCAGAGUAUGACCCCCGCUUCACCUACGGGUAUCCGCCAGGCUAUCCCUGGCAAUAG
RNAcentral lists this ribosomal RNA (315 nucleotides) under Triticum aestivum (bread wheat). Its description in RNAcentral is "partial small subunit ribosomal RNA". Lineage: Eukaryota; Viridiplantae; Streptophyta; Magnoliopsida; Poales; Poaceae. The record is from RNAcentral.